Molecule: RNA transcript, 4829 nt
Organism: Danio aesculapii
Lineage: Eukaryota; Metazoa; Chordata; Actinopteri; Cypriniformes; Danionidae
Gene name: NACHT, LRR and PYD domains-containing protein 3-like
Exons: 14
Source: RefSeq, a predicted model, not a curated record
UUUAGUGAAGUGAAAGAGUCAAAGAGCUCAGAUUGUGUUCCUGCUGCACAAGAGCGUCUGUACUUCUGCAUCUGCAGUAUGGCAGAGGAGCGAGUAAAGGACUCUCUCUCAGAGAACCACAGUGUGAGAUCAGGAUCAUGUGUGUCCAGCUCUGUGUCUCUGAAGAGUGAGUUGUCUAAAGGUCAUCCUCCAGACCUCAGUGAGAAAACACCAUCAUCAGUCAAAAGGUUUUUCCGUUUAGGGAAGUCAAAACACCAUCCACCAAACCUCAGAGAGAAAACACCAUCUUCUGCCGAAAGUUUUGAAUACGAGUUACCAGAUUCAAGAAACAAUACUCACAGAAGGCAAAAGAGUUUCAGAGGCAAUCUCCUGAUGAUCUUCCAGAAUCUUGAGAGUAAAAUUAUCAAGUUUGUGAAGAAUGAACUGGAAAACUUUAAGAAAAUCUUACAAGAAGAAAACCAACACGAGUUUGUAAAGGAGUUUAAUGAGAACAGAUGCAGUAUCACAGAAGCAGCUCUUGAUCUCACACUCUUCUUCCUGAGAGAGAUGAAGCAAGAUCAAGCUGCUGAUACUCUCGAAGGUGAGCUGUUCUUCAUCAAUCAGCUUAAAUGUAGCCUGAAGAAGAAAUAUCAAAGUGUGUUUGAAGGAAUUGCUCAGCAAGGAGACUCCACACUUCUGAAUAACAUCUACACAGAUCUCUAUAUCACUCAGGGUGCGAGUGAACAGGUCAACACUGAACAUGAGAUCAGACAGAUUGAAGCUGCUUCCAGACGUCAUCAGUCACUAGAGAUACAGGUUGAAUGCAAACAUUUGUUUGAAGCACCUGAACAAGACGAGCAGAUCAGAACUGUCCUGACAAAAGGAGUUGCUGGCAUCGGGAAAUCAGUCUCUGUGCAAAAGUUUGUUCUGGAUUGGGCUGAAGGGAAAGAAAAUCAAGACAUCAGCUUCAUAUUUCCUCUUCCAUUCAGAGAGAUGAACUUAAAGGAGAAAGAAAGACAAAGUUUAAAAGACCUCUUAACUCAGUUUUUCCCAGAGACUAAAGGACUGAACCUUACAAGAAGCACACGAUUCAAAGUCCUGUUCAUCCUUGAUGGAUUGGAUGAAUGUCGUCUUCCUCUGAACUUUGCUGGUAAUGAGACGUGUCGUGAUGUAUCUUCAGCAGUCUCUCUGGAUGUUCUCCUGACGAACCUCAUCAAGGGAAAUCUGCUUCCUUCUGCUCUCAUCUGGAUCACCAGCAGACCAGCAGCUGCCAAUAAGAUUCCUGCUGACUGUAUCGACCGGCUGACAGAGAUACGAGGAUUCAAUGAUGCCCAAAAGGAGGAGUACUUCAGAAAGAGACUCACAGAUCAGAAUCAGGCCGGAGAAAUCAUUGAUCACAUUAAACAGUCAAAGAGUCUCUUUAUUAUGUGCCACAUCCCAGUCUUCUGCUGGAUUUCAGCCACUGUUCUCCAGAACAUUUUGAAGGAGAACAGAAAUACUGAACUGAAAGACAGGGCUAAUGCUGAAACACUGCAGGAAUCUCCCAAGACUCUGACACAGAUGUACACACACUUUCUCCGCUUUCAGAUCCAGCAGAGCAGAAGAAAGUAUGAUGGAGAAAACACAUCAGAUGUCUCCUGGGAUCCAAACCUCAUCCUUUCACUGGGGAAACUGGCCUUCCAGCAGCUGGAAAGAAACAAUGUAAUCUUCUAUGAGAGCGAUCUGAAAGACUGUGGCAUUGACGUCUAUAAGGCAUCAGUGUACUCAGGCAUGUGUACCCAGAUCUUUAAGGAGGAGACGGGAAUCAUUCUUGGUACCAUGUACUGCUUUCUUCACUUGAGCAUUCAGGAGUUCAUUGCAGCCCUUUAUCAACAUCUGUUUCUAGACCUCAACAAGAAACCUUUACCUAUUUUUAGAAAGAAAAGCAAAACUAAAUGUAUGAUUGAUUUGCUGAAGACUGCAGUGGACAAGGCUCUGGAAAGUGAGAAUGGACAUCUGGACCUUUACCUUCGCUUCCUUCUCGGUCUGUCACUCCAGUCCAAUCGACAACUCUUACGAGGCCUGUUGACACAGCAGGAUGACAGAGACCAGAGCAAAGAGGAAAUAAUCGCAUACAUCAAGCAGAAACUUGAAGGAAAUCUGUCUCCAGAGAGAUCCAUCAAUCUGUUCUACUGUCUGAAUGAACUGAAUGAUCAAACUCUGCUGAAAGAGAUUCAGUCUCACCUCAGUAGAGGAAGUCUGUCAUCUGCUGACCUUUCACCUGCCCAGUGGUCUGCUCUGGUCUUUGUGUUGUUGACCUCAGAGGAGGAGCUGGAGGAGUUUGAGCUUCAGAAAUUCCAGAGAUCAGACGAGUGUCUCAUCAGACUAUCAGCAGUCAUCAAAUCCUCCAAAAGAGCUCAGCUACAGGGCUGUAAUCUCACUAUUCGGUCUUGUGAGAGUUUGUCUUCAGUUCUACAAUCCUCAAACUGUGUCCUGAGAGAGCUGGACCUGAGUAACAAUGACCUGCAGGAUUCAGGAGUGAAGCUUCUCUCUGAUGGACUGAAGAGUCAACACUGUAAACUGGAGACACUGAGAUUGGUCACAUGUAAACUCACUGUUCAGUGCUGUGAGAGUUUGUCUUCAGCUCUACAAUCCUCAAACUGUGUCCUGAGAGAGCUGGACCUGAGUAACAAUGACCUGCAGGAUUCAGGAGUGAAGCUUCUCUCUGAUGGACUGAAGAGUCAACACUGUAAACUGGAGACACUGAGAUUGGUCACAUGUAAACUCACUGUUCAGUGCUGUGAGAGUUUGUCUUCAGCUCUACAAUCCUCAAACUGUGUCCUGAGAGAGCUGGACCUGAGUAACAAUGACCUGCAGGAUUCAGGAGUGAAGCUUCUCUCUGAUGGACUGAAGAGUCAACACUGUAAACUGGAGACACUGAGGUUGUCUGGCUGUAUGGUGACAGAGGAAGGCUGUGGUUUUCUGUCUUCAGCUCUGACUUCAAACCACUCACACCUGAGAGAGCUGGAUCUGAGCUACAAUCAUCCAGGAGAUUCAGGAGUCAAGCUGCUCUCUGAACAACUGGAGGAUCCAAACUACACACUGGACAAACUCAAUCUGGAUCAUGGAGGAGAGACGAGGAUUACAGCAGGACCACGCAAAUAUGUCUGUUUCCUCACACUGGAUCCAAACACAGCACACACUCGUCUCAUUCUGUCUGAGGAGAACAGAGAGGUGAAGUGUGUGGAAGAGGAUCAGCCGUAUCCUGAUCAUCCAGACAGAUUUGAUUAUUAUCCUCAGGUGUUGUGCAGAGAAAGUGUGUGUGGACGCUGUUACUGGAAGACUGACUGGUGUGGAAAUCGUGGUGUGUGUAUAUCAGUGUCAUAUACGAGCAUCAGGAGGAAGGGACGAGGUGAUGAGUGUGUGUUUGGAUCUAAUGCUCAGUCCUGGAGUUUGUUCUGCUCUUCCUCCAGUGUUUCAUUCUGGCACAAUAACACACACACUCGUCUCCCAGUGAAGCGGCUCAGCAGGAGAAUAGGAGUGUUUGUAGAUCACAGUGCAGGAACUCUGAUCUUCUACAACAUCUAUAGAGACACAGUGAGCCUCAUCCACUCAGUCCAGACCACAUUCACUGAGCCGCUCUGGCCUGGGUUUAGGAUUUAUUCUGGAUCUUCAGUGAAACUGCGAUGAAGACUGACGAGAGAUUUACCCACAAUCCUCUGCAGGAGCAGUCAGCAGCUAUGCUACAUCACUACUACACCAACAUACUGCGUACAUCUGAAGUGUGGGCCUAGAGUAGAACAAGUGACUGGUGGGAGAACACCGCUCAAAAGUACACAGAUGACCAGUGGCUGGAGGACUUCAGAGUCUCUAGAGAAACGUUCAGAUACAUUUGUACAACGCUUAAGCCCUCACUACAGGGACUAGACACGUCAUUCAGAUUGUGCAUUCCUCUGGCAAAACGUGUAGCCAUUGCACUCUAUAAACUAGCAUCAACAACUGAGUAUAGAACAGUAGCUAACCUGUUUGCUGUCAGUCGGACCUCGGUGUGUCGCUGUGUGCAUGACUUUUGUAAGGCUGUGAUUGCUGUGCUUCGACCCAAGCUCAUAAACACCCCUGACCAAGCUAAAAUGGCAGAGAUUGCUGAUUAUUUUGAGGACAAAUUUGGAAUUCCACAAUGUGUUGGUGCUAUUGACGGUUCACACAUUCCCAUGCUGAAACCUCCACAAUACCAGUCAGAUUUCACAAUAGAAAAGGCUGGCAUUCCAUAAUUUUACAAGCAGUUGUGGAUGGUAAAGGCCUUUUUUGGGACCUUAAUGUAGGACAGCCUGGUAGAGAACAUGAUGCCAGCGUCCUGAAAAAAUCAUGCCUUUGGACCUGGGCAACAUCCACCACAGCUUUUCCCGGCAGAGUAAAGAACAUAUGCGGAACUGAUGUAGGCUAUUUCAUUCUUGGCGACUCUGCAUAUCCACUGUAGAAAUGGUUGUUAAAACCAUAUCCAGACACCGGCAGGCUCACAGAGGCUCAAGAACUUUACAACAUGAGAACAAGUCGAGCCCGCUGUGUGGUUGAGCAUGCAUUUGGGCGCUUGAAAGGCAGGUGGAAAUGUCUUAGUAAAAGAAAUUACUGCAAUGUAAAUGUUGUUGUUGAUAUGGUUGAGACAUGCUGUACACUGCAUAACUUGUGUGAAUUACACAUGGACUGGUUUGUGCCAGAAUGGUCCUCUGAUGGUGCUGUUGCAGAUGUUGAAAGACCAGAUUAUCUUGGUAAUGACACUUCAGAUGCAAGAACUGCUCUGCAACAGUAUUUCAUGCAGCAACAAUAAUUGUAACAUUGUUUUUUUGUUGAGAAAUAAAAUACUGAAAACUACA